Molecule: ribosomal RNA, 253 nt
Filed under: uncultured bacterium
Lineage: Bacteria
Description: partial 16S ribosomal RNA
Rfam family: Bacterial small subunit ribosomal RNA
Source: RNAcentral
UACGAAGGGGGCUAGCGUUGUUCGGAUUUACUGGGCGUAAAGCGCACGUAGGCGGCUAUCCAAGUCAGUGGUGAAAGCCCGGAGCUCAACUCCGGAACUGCCAUUGAAACUGUUUAGCUGGAGUAUGAGAGAGGUGAGUGGAAUUCCCAGUGUAGAGGUGAAAUUCGUAGAUAUUGGGAAGAACACCGGUGGCGAAGGCGGCUCACUGGCUCAUUACUGACGCUCAUGCGCGACAGCGUGGGGAUCAAACAGG